GCCCACUAGCUAGCUCACCCACCUAAACCCAACAACCCCCUAUCUAUAACCCCUAAUUAAAUUACGCACCUUUUAAACAAAUCAUUUUUCCCCCUGAGUAUGGGCGACAGAAAAGGACCUACCAGUAAGCAACAGCAUUAGUACCGCAAGGGAACGCUGAAAGAGAAGUGAAACAAAUCAGUUAAGCACAAAAAAGCAGAGUUCCACCCUCGUACCUUUG
This 220-nucleotide ribosomal RNA is filed under the name Archamia bleekeri (Gon's cardinalfish). RNAcentral describes it as "partial 16S ribosomal RNA". The record is from RNAcentral. Lineage: Eukaryota; Metazoa; Chordata; Actinopteri; Kurtiformes; Apogonidae.